UGGGGAAUAUUGCACAAUGGGCGCAAGCCUGAUGCAGCCAUGCCGCGUGUGUGAAGAAGGCCUUCGGGUUGUAAAGCACUUUCAGCGAGGAGGAAGGUGGUGAACUUAAUACGUUCAUCAAUUGACGUUACUCGCAGAAGAAGCACCGGCUAACUCCGUGCCAGCAGCCGCGGUAAUACGGAGGGUGCAAGCGUUAAUCGGAAUUACUGGGCGUAAAGCGCACGCAGGCGGUUUGUUAAGUCAGAUGUGAAAUCCCCGGGCUCAACCUGGGAACUGCAUUUGAAACUGGCAAGCUAGAGUCUCGUAGAGGGGGGUAGAAUUCCAGGUGUAGCGGUGAAACGCGUAGAGAUCUGGAGGAAUACCGGUGGCGAAGGCGGCCCCCUGGACGAAGACUGACGCUCAGGUGCGAAAGCGUGGGGAGCAAAACAGGAUUAGAUACCCUGGUAGUCCACGCUGUAAACGAUGUCGAUUUUGGAGGUUGUGCCCUUGAGGCGUGGCUUCCGGAGCUAACGCGUUAAAUCGACCGCCUGGGGAGUACGGCCGCAAGGUUAAAACUCAAAGGAAUUGACGGGGUCAUAGCUGUUUCCUG
This 589-nucleotide ribosomal RNA is filed under the name uncultured bacterium. RNAcentral's name for it is "partial 16S ribosomal RNA". It matches the Rfam family "Bacterial small subunit ribosomal RNA", at positions 355 to 1376 of the family's 1533-position model. The record is from RNAcentral.